Molecule: ribosomal RNA, 253 nt
Filed under: uncultured bacterium
Lineage: Bacteria
Description: partial 16S ribosomal RNA
Rfam family: Bacterial small subunit ribosomal RNA
Source: RNAcentral
UACAGAGGGUGCGAGCGUUAAUCGGAAUUACUGGGCGUAAAGCGCGCGUAGGCGGCUUUGCAAGUCGGGUGUGAAAUCCCUCGGCUUAACCAAGGAAGUGCAUCCGAAACUGCAGAGCUUGAGUACUGAAGAGGAUCGCGGAAUUCCCGGUGUAGAGGUGAAAUUCGUAGAUAUCGGGAGGAACACCAGUGGCGAAGGCGGCGAUCUGGGAAGAUACUGACGCUGAGGUGCGAAAGCGUGGGGAGCAAACAGG